This 331-nucleotide unclassified non-coding RNA is filed under the name soil metagenome. RNAcentral describes it as "partial contains 5.8S ribosomal RNA, internal transcribed spacer 2, and large subunit ribosomal RNA". The stretch from base 1 to 120 matches the Rfam family "5.8S ribosomal RNA", at positions 35 to 154 of the family's 154-position model. The record is from RNAcentral.
GAUGAAGAACGUAGCAAAAUGCGAUAAGUAAUGUGAAUUGCAGAAUUCAGUGAAUCAUCGAAUCUUUGAACGCACAUUGCGCCCGCCAGUAUUCUGGCGGGCAUGCCUGUUCGAGCGUCAUUUCAACCCUCAAGCACAGCUUGGUGUUGGGACUCGCGUUAAUUCGCGUUCCCCAAAUUGAUUGGCGGUCACGUCGAGCUUCCAUAGCGUAGUAGUAAAACCCUCGUUACUGGUAAUCGUCGCGGCCACGCCGUUAAACCCCAACUUCUGAAUGUUGACCUCGGAUCAGGUAGGAAUACCCGCUGAACUUAAGCAUAUCAAUAGCGGAGGA